This 352-nucleotide transfer-messenger RNA is filed under the name Aedoeadaptatus urinae. It matches the Rfam family "transfer-messenger RNA". Rfam says of the family: Bacterial tmRNA, also known as 10Sa RNA or SsrA, is named for its dual tRNA and mRNA-like properties. Its role is to liberate the mRNA from a stalled ribosome. Lineage: Bacteria; Bacillati; Bacillota; Tissierellia; Tissierellales; Peptoniphilaceae. The record is from RNAcentral.
GGGGACGAAAUGGCUUCGACGGGGAUUCGGAACCCGAGGUAGCAAGCCGUUGAUGAGUCAGGCAACGUAAAAAUGGCUCAAAAAAAUUAAAUGCUAACGAAAACAAUUUAGCACUGGCAGCGUAAAUUACGCUACCCACGGAACUAAGAGGACCACGGCUUAGGGAAGUGUCAAAUCAGUGGUGAAACGUCGUCGGUCAAGCUUUGCCCCGAUGCCGGAAUCUAUGAAGCUACCUUUUAGCGGCCUUUUGUUUUUCUUUUCGCUCUAAGGGAAAUUUAAAGAAAAACUGAGCUUGGAGAAACCUCGGUGGAAGAGUUCUCGGACGCGGGUUCGACCCCCGCCGUCUCCACCA